RNAcentral lists this long non-coding RNA (35788 nucleotides) under Triticum aestivum (bread wheat). RNAcentral describes it as "long non-coding RNA (TAES_LNC009856)". Lineage: Eukaryota; Viridiplantae; Streptophyta; Magnoliopsida; Poales; Poaceae. The record is from RNAcentral.
UGAUUGAUGAUCUUCAUGGAAGCCGUCAGUUGCUGCUCCAAGGCAAGGUAGUAGGCAGGAUCUUGAUGUGGCUAUGGGUCGAUCACAAAGGACUGUGACUCGUUUUUUCCUUUUUUGUUUGUUUGCGAACAGUUUCUGCUGCAGCACUAUAACAGAUGAUGUUUGGACCUGCAUGCGCCCAGUUUACUGUAUUACUUCUUGGCAUUUCUCCAUUGAUUUCUUUAGGCGUGUUUCUUGUGAUUGAUAAUUUGCUCUGUCUGGUUAAGCAAACUGGGAGGGAACAAAAUGAUGAUGUGCUUAUAUUUAGUUCAAGUUUCUGCAGCUGCUAUUCCAUCAUCAAAAAGCAUGCAUGUGACGAGCUGCAUAUAUAUAUAGUUUAUUCAGUGAUUCAGAUAAGUGUAAUUUCUGUUGGUGUAAAUCCAUCAUCAUGUUGAAAGCUAGCAUGAUUGAUUGAUUUGUCAUUCAUACUUGAUGAUACUACAAUGCCUCUGGACUGAAUGAAUCCUGGUGGUGUUCAGUCAGUCAGUAUAUUACCUUGCAGCAGCGCGUGUCCAGUCCAGUUUUGCAGAAUUAUGGCAGAGUUUUAACUUGGCUAGCUGUUUGCUUUUUUGCCUGCAGCGCGCAAAUUUUACAUGAUUUGUUUAGCUGCUGCUGCUGCUGCUGAAAUUUGCUUUCUAGUAGUUUCUGUAGCUGCUGUUCCAUCUUCAGAAACAUGCAUGUGUUGAGCUACAUACCUAUAUAUAUGGUUUAUUGAGUGUAUCUGUCUGAAGUUGAUUCUGAUCUUUGUGUGCCUUUGUUAGUGUAGAUCCAUCAUGUUGAAAGUUAUCAUGAUUAACUUGCCACUUCUAUGUCCUAUAGAUACAAUCAUACAAUGCCUCUGGAAUGAAUCCUGGUGGUAUAUACACCAUCGCAGCAGUGCGUGUCCAAUCCAGUUUUGCACUAAUAACUGACGGGAUGAUGUCUUAGGAAUCCUGGUGGUAUUUACUGGCUUUCUCUUCUAUAUUUAUUUCCCAUUUUUCCUUUUCUUUAUUUAUUAAAUCAUGAGUUGUUUUCCAAAAUAACUGAGUUUUAAAACUCAUAAACUUUCUUUAAUUUCAAAAAUAAUUUCAUUUUUUAUGAUUUUUCAAUAUUCAUUAGUUAUUUUAAAAUUUCCAAAACAUCUUAAAGCUCCGACCAGGCGCAGGAGUCGCUCGACAAGCUGCAGGCCUUGCUCCCUCCCUCCCUCCUCGACGGCUCCAGGAACCCUAGAUGGCCAUGGUGAGACUGUAGGAGGUCAGACCCCUCCUCUCAUUCUCUUCUUCUUCUUCUUCUUCUUCUUCUUCUUCUUCUUCUUCUUCUUCUUCUUCUUCUUCUUCUUCUUCUUCUUCUUCUUCUUCUAUCUCUGUUUUUUUCCUCUCCGCAUCUCAUCUGAUGUAGGCGUGUGUGCGUUCGGUCAUGUGCAGGCACUAUCCUCCCAUCUCAUCUCCCUUGGUGGUGAAGGAAGGAGGCCAUGGAGACGGAAGCUGCUGCCCUCCCAUUUCAUCUCCCUCCUUGCACGGUGAAGGAAGGAGGCCAUGGAGAGAGAAGUUCCGAUGCCGAUGCCGAUUCAAGAGGAGGGCCAUGGAAGGUCCUAUCCUUUCCUCUAUCUUGUUUGCUUGAGUCCUGUUUCCAUCUUCUCCAUUCAAACAUGUUCUUCCCGAUUCAGAUAUCUACAGUGUACUAAUAUGGUAUUCUAGUCGUUUAUGUAGCUGAAGAAAAUGUGCAAGGAGGGCGCAUAUUGGGGUAACCAAGUAGAAGCGUAUUACUCUGUUGUUUUAUUUGGCUGAUAUAAAUGCAUUGGCGUCAAACACUCAUUCGUUUCUUCUUAUGUUCGCUGACACAUUCAGAUGCUUCUUCUAUUAAUCUACAGGUGCUGUUGCUGGAGUGUAUGUAGGCAUGGAGUACGAAGUGGAAAGGGUCCGUGGAGAGUAUGACUGGGUAAUGAUGCUCUAAAAAUGGAUCUUUCAUGCUUCUUGCACUUACCUGAACCUUAGGUGAAGGAAUAUCUAUCUGCAUGACUGCCUCUACCCAUUUGACAAUGGAGAUCCUUUCUUUAGUUUGACUAAGAUUCUUUGCUAAUGAGUGUACGAGAAGAAUCAAUCUGAUUCAUUGCAUCUUAUAAAUCAUGAUGCUAGUUUUUACUUCUAUCUCCACACCCCGUUGUAAGGUUAUUGUUUGAGUUAAGUUCACCGAACAAUACUGGAUGCAGUAACACCCAAGCAAUUAUUAUAGAGGGAGGGAGGGAGGUGGCAUCCCAAAUCAUACCUGUCUAUGAUAUGAUUGGGAGGGAAUAUACUGACUGCUACUGUUACAAUGUCUUGUUGAUUUCUUUUAACAAUCAUACCUAGCUAAAAUCUUCUUAUCCACAACAGAGCAGCCUCAUCCUCUUCAUGAUGGCUCAACUGCCUCUGAUUCUUCCUGUUUGCUGCCUUGCCUUGCAGAUGCGGUAGCUCAAGGGCGAGGUCGACAUCUUCUCCAGGGCCGAGGGGUCGGCGCUGUUCGAGAUGUGCAACACCAGGAUAUGAUCUAUUGGAACAAUUUUGGUGUUGUUCAAAUGUUUAAAUUCUGGUUCUUUGUUUCAAACAUCUAAAUGCUGUUUAAUUUGUACUUCUAUGCUUAAAUGAUAAAAAUGUCGCAUUUAUAGGAUUGUAAACCUGAUGUGAUUGGAGUAGUAUUUACUUGUUGCUGAUAGUAACUACUUGUAUCCACUGAUUUCUAUGCCUCAUUUUGCUUGUUUUACUUUAUUUAUGCACACAGACUGCCUACAAGUUAAUGUGCUUUUAGAUUUGCCUUUAUUUUGCUCCUUACCAUAUUGUUUGAUAACUUGCAGAUGUUGUACUUCAUUCGUGUUUCGUCGUGGGCUCCAAGAAGUGAAGAAGCAUUGAGUUCUAGCUCAUUGGAGCUAGUUAUACUUUGAUAGAUAGUUAUAUUUUGAUAUUUAGUUGAGUUCUUGGUGGCUGUAAACCUGAUGUGAAGUAUGUUCGAUUAUAAACGUGGUGUAUGUAUGGUUGUAAGGUGAAAAUUUUGGUUUUUUGAUUUGUUGAAGUAUUACUUCUGUUUUCAGUCCGUUCUAAUUUAAAUAUUUGUUUUAAUUUACUGGAAAAUCAAAAUUUGAAGAACAUGACCCUGACCAUUGGGACCCACUCAAACCCAUCUGACUAUUGGUUCUAUCUUAAAAAAAAGAAAUGUAACUAAAAAAAGAAAUGUAACUGUUGAGCCAAAAAGGCCAUGGCCGAAAAAAGAAGGCCCAAUUGUUGGGUCAGGCCAAUGUAGAAAUCAAAACUAUUAGAAAAAAUAACACAUUAAAUGGGCUGAAUUAAUGGGCUCGGCCCAUAUAGACACCUAAUCGGACCGGGCUGAUUCUUGUCAACGACCUUUCCAUUUGGUCGUAAUUUUGUCACAUCAGCUUGCCACGUCGGAUCCAACGUGGCCUGGGAAAAUAGCUAGUGACCAAAACAAAACCGUAGGCAUAUUUUGGUCGUAAAUGUCUACGACCUUCUCACAGAGAAGGUCGUUAAUUUCAGUUUAUGUCCGUCAGCUUUUGACCAUCUGUUUUUGGUCACAAAAAGGUCACAAAUGGAAGAUAAUGACCAUUCAGUGACCAAUAGUCAAGGUCACAAGUUGACAUAUUUCUUGUAGUGCAUGUCGAAGUUACCGGGGAGGGGGUAUAUCGACCCCCCUCUCUUUUUUCCUUUUUUCUUCUUCUUAUUUAUUUCUCCUCUAAAAUGUAACUUUUGCAUAUAUAAAACUUUUUAUUCUUCUUUCUUCUUCCUUCUCUUCCUUCUUCCUUCUUCCUAAAUAUAUAAAACUUUUCUAAAAAUGAAACUAACCUAAAAUGCACUAAAUCAUAGAACAUACAUAGAUGAAACUUUUCUAAAAUCUAACGUUUGCAUAUAUGAACAUAUAUAUACACAGAGAACAUAUACAUAUAUAUACAAUUUUAUAAUAAUGAAAAAAAAUGAGAGGAAGGCCGGUGGCCAGACCGAAGGCGGCGGCGUGUGGUCGGGGCGACGGCGACGGGGUCGGGGAAGGGGCGGCGCAUGCGGCGACGGUGACGGGGUCGGGGCAGGGGCGACACACGCGGCGAUGGCGACGGUGUCGGGGCUUGCAGGGGCGGCGCGCGCGGCGACGACGACGGCGACAGCGUCGGGACAGGGGCGUCGAGGGCGUCGGCGGCUGCGAUAGCGAGGUGGACCAGCCUGACGGCGUUGGGGCAGGGCUCGACGGCAACGGCGACGAGGAGCAGGAGGCGUCGGGGCGGAGAAGAAACAAAUGGAUUUUGGCGAAACUGCUAAGUCUUGUUUAUAUAGCCAGAGCAUUGGUCCCGGUUCGUGGCACCAACCAGGACCAAUACCCCCCUUUAGUCCCGGUUGGUGCCACCAAUGACCAAAGGUCUCUUUUCAGUAGCCUAAAGGGCGGGAAGCAGAGGCCUUUGGUCCCGUUUGGUGCCACCAACCGGGACUAAAGGUAGGCAUUGGUCCCAGUUGGUGCGCCGAACCGGGACUAAAGGUGUGCAUUGGUCCCGGUUCGUGGCACGGACCAAUGGCCUGCGCCUGCCAAAGCCGCGGUGAGGUGGUAUGUUUAGUCCCACCUCGCUAGCUGAAGAGCGGCAGCACCUGUUUAUAAGUGCUGUUGUGCCCACCUUCCGCGGGCCUUAAUCCUGGCCCAUGAGUUGGUUUCUAGUCGUAUUCAGGCCGUAGUGGCCUAGUAGGUGGCAUUUUCCCCCCAUUUUUUGGUUUUCUUUGGUACUUUUUUUCUACUUACAACAAAAUACUUACUUUUGCUAUUUUUAUUUAUUUUAUUAAGGUUUGUUUUUUAGGUGGCAUUCUUUUCCCAUUUUCUGUUUACUUUCGUACUUUUUUCUACUUACAACAAAAUACUUACUUUUGCUAUUUUUAUUUAUUUUAUUAAGGUUUAUUUAUUUUAUUAAGGUUUAUUUAUUUUAUUAAGGUUUAUUUUUUUAGUUUUUUUCUACUUUCAACAAAAUAUUUUCUUUUUGAUUUCUUUUUUGCUUUUUGUAUUUAUUUUAUGAAAAUUCUUUUUUGCUUUUAAUGCUUUGAACAAAAAAUACUUUGAUAAUUUUAGUUGCAUAAAUUCUAUAUAAUUUUAGUUUUAAUAACACUAGAGGUUUAUAAAAUAUUUUUAGUUGAUUCCUUUAGUACCAGUUCUAAGGCUGUUACAAAGGCAUUUUAUUUGGUAUCGGUUCUAAGGCUGGGGCUCCACGAGCACCUUUAGUACCGGUUCAUGACAUGAACCGGUAAAAAGAGUUUUUUAGUUGAUUCUUUCUGUAGCUGUUUUUUAGUCCCACCUCGCCAAGCGAGAGGCACUCCCAGCGGUUUAUAAGCCCUGAGUGCAGAGACGAUGCAGGAGAGGCGCAAUGCUCACCUGCACGUUGCUUAUCUUCAAGCCUUGAGGAAGUGGUGUAGACUGCACGGAGCUAUCAGGGUUUCGUGCAGGCGAGCAUUGCGUCUCUCUUUUAGUUUCAAUAAUACUAGAGGUUUUAUAAAACUUCAUUUUGUUUUUACUUAUUUAUUAAAGUUUAUUUUGUUUCUACUUAUAUUUUCUUUUCCUUUUUGCUUCUUUUAUUUAUUUUAUGAAAUUUCUUUCUUUUUUUCUUUAUUUAUUUUAUUUUGUUUCUACCUGCUGUUGCUAUUUUUAUUUAUUUUAUUAUAAUUUAUUUAUUUUACAUUACUAAAGUUUAUUUUGUUUCUACUUAUUUAUUAAAGUUUUUUCUAUUUCUAGUUAUUUAUUUUAUUUUGUUUCUACUUAUUUAUUUUCAUUUUGUUUUGCUUUUUUUAUUUAUUUUAUGAAAAUUCUUUUUUCUUUUAAUGUUUUACACACAAAAGCCCUCUCCCCUGGCUCGAUUGGUACCGGUUUGUGGCCUGACCCGGCCCGAAAGAUAAUGCUUUGGUACCGGUUCAGGCCACAAGCCGGUACCUGUGGUGUUGGGCCAGGAGCGGAGCCCAUUGGUCCCGGUUUGUGCCCCCAACCGGGACCAAAGGGGCCAGACGAACCGGGACCAAUGCCGCAUGAGGCCCGGCAGGCCCCUGGCCUCACAAACUGGGACCAGUGGGCCCAUUGGUAUCGGUACCUGAGCGAACCGGGACUAAUGGGCUUAUCUGGCCCGGACGUAUGCCUUGUUUUCUACUAGUGAACUUUGUCCUUUCAUCUCUCAUUGCUAGAUUAGCUCUUGCAAUGCUUUAUGUAGUGAUUAAUUUGUGGGUUUUAGUAAUUUGGGAGGAAUUAUAUGUGGUAGUUUAUUUGAUUUAUAUGCAAUUUGAGCUUAAAAUAACUCUUAGUUUGCAUAUGUAACCACCAUCGAUCGUCCGCACCGACCCAUCGCCGGCACCACCUUGUGGUGAGCCUCUUGUUCUUAUCUUUUUUAUAUAAAAAAUUCAUGUUUCUGUGAUUUAGAUAUAUAGUUACUUGUAUAAUUAUCUUACCCGUAUGUUGUUUGUUAUACAUAGUGCCAUGGUUUUGAUAUCCGUCCCUGUCGGCCGUUGUCCGUGUUAUGAUUCGGAUGUGGUAUGUUCUCCUUUAAAAGUAUUUGUUGCAUUUAGUGUUUAUGACAAAUUAUGCCCAUCAUGUUGACAUAGAUAUUUUUAUCUAGGAGGUAUGUGAACCGGAAAUUCCAACCGACAAGAUUUUCGAGAGGUUAAAUUUAGUGGAAAGAGAAAACGAGUAUUUGAAAGAAAAAUUGAAAAGAAUUGAGGGGGAGAAGAUGGAAUUGGAGUUGCAUGUUGCCGAUGUCGUCGAUGAUCACAAGAUCAAGAUGGAGAAAAUGCGGUUGAAGAUUAGAAAGAUUAGAAAAUAUGCCAUUGAUAGUGAGGCUUGGUAUCAUUAUGUUGUUGGAUCAAUUGUUACCUUAGUUGCGAUCUUGAUCGUAUUUGUUGUUACAUUUAUAUGCUUUAGCUAGAGAGUUAUUUGUAUGUUGCAUUUAAGUGUUGUAUGAACUUUAUGUAUGAACUUGUAUUAAUUUGGUCUAUUCAGUGGUGUGUAAUGAAGAUGAGCUGGCAAUGGAUGUACGAUGACCGAUGCUCUCCCUAGUUCGUUGAUGGCGUGCAUACUUUUCUGAUUGCGGCUCACGCAGAAAAGCGGGUGGAUGGUUUUAAGCCUUGUCCAUGUGCUGGUUGUAAGAAUGAUCACAAUUACUCUAGCUCAAGAACCAUUCACGUCCACCUGCUUGAGUCCGGUUUCAUGCCCCACUAUAAUGUUUGGAACAAGCACGGAGAAAGAGGGGUUAUGAUGGAAGACAAUGAAGAAGAAGAGGACGACGAUAGCUAUCCUGGCCAUGGGUUUCCUGAAUACGAUGAUACAACAAUGCGAGAAGAAGCUGAGCCGGCAAUGCAAGAAGAAGUUGAAGAAGAGGCAUCAGAUGAGCCUGCUGAUGAUCUAGGUCGGGCCAUUGCCGAUGCAAAGAGAAACUGCCCAAGUGAAAGGGAGAAGAAGAAGUUGCAGCGCAUGUUAGAGGAUAACAAGAAAUUGUUGUACCCGAGUUGCGAAGGUGACAAGAAAAAGCUGGGCACCACACUGGAAUUGCUGCAAUGGAAGGCAGAGAAUGGUGUAUCUGACAAGGGAUUUGGAAAGUUGUUGGUAAUGAUGAAGAAUAUGCUUCCAAAGGACAAUGAAUUGCCCGAGAGUACGUACGAAGCAAAGAAGGUCGUCUGCCCUCUAGGGUUAGAGGUGCAGAAGAUACAUGCAUGCCCUAAUGACUGCAUCCUCUACUGCAGUGAGUACAAGGAUUUGAACGCGUGCCCGGUAUGGGGUGCAUUGCGCUAUAAGAUCAACCGCGAUGACCCUGGUGAUGUCGAGGGUGAGCGCCCCAGGAAGAAGAUUCCUGUGAAGGUGAUGUGGUAUGCUCCUAUAAUACCACAGUUGAAACGUUUGUUCCCAAACAAAGAGCAUGCCAAGGCGAUGCGAUGGCACGGAGAAGACCGUAAUAAAGACGAAAAGUUGAGAGUACCCGCUGACGGGUCGCAGUGGAGAAAAAUCGAGAGAAAGUACAGGGAGGAGUUUGCAGGUGACCCAAGGAACGUAUGGUUUGGUCUAAGCGCAGAUGGCAUUAAUCCUUUUGGGGAGCAGAGCAGCAACCAUAGCACCUGGCCUGUGACUCUAUGUUUGUAUAACCUUCCUCCUUGGUUGUGCAUGAAGAGGAAGUUCAUUAUGAUGCCAGUGCUCAUCCAAGGCCCUAAGCAACCCGGCAACAACAUUGAUGUGUACCUAAGGCCAUUAGUUGAAGAACUAUUACAGCUGUGUCAUGGAAAAGGUGUACGUGCAUGGGAUGAGCAGAAACAGGAAGAAUUUGACCUAAAGGCAUUGUUGUUCGUGACCAUAAAUGAUUGGCCUGCCCUUAGUAACCUUUCAAGAUAGACAAACAAGGGAUACCGCGGAUGCACACACUAUUUGGAUGAUACCGACAGUAUAUAUUUGGAUAGUUGUAGGAAGAAUGUGUACCUAGGACAUCGUCGAUUUCUUCCGAGCAGGCAUCCCGUAAGAAAGAAAGGCAAGCAUUUAAAAGGUGAGGCGGAUCACCGGACGAAGCCACGCCACCGUACUGGUGCUGAUGUACAUUAUAUGGUCAAGGAUUUGACGGUUAUCUUUGGAAAGGGUCCUGGCGGACAACCUGUUCCAAAGGACGCUUACGGACACGCACCCAUGUGGAAGAAGAAAUCUAUAUUUUGGGACCUGCACUAUUGGAAUGACCUAGAGGUCCGCUCCGCAAUCGACGUGAUGCACGUGACGAAGAAUCCUUGAAUGACCCUGCUUGGCUUCUUGGGCGUGUAUGGGAAGACAAAAGAUACACCGGAGGCACGGGAGGACCAGCAACGUAUGCACAGAAAAGACGGCAUACAUCAGGGUUAUGCCAGCUACGCUGUUACCAAAGAAGAGAAGGAAAUCUUCUUUGAAUGCCUGCUCAGUAUGAAGGUAUUGUCCGGUUUCUCGUCGAAUAUAAAGGGAAUAAUAAAUAUGGCAGAGAAAAAGUUCCAGAACUUAAAGUCUCAUGGCUGCCACGUGAUUAUGAAGCAACUUCUUCCGGUUGCAUUGAGGGGGCUUCUACCGGAAAACGUUCGAUUAGCCAUUGUGAAGCUAUGUGCAUUCCUCAAUGCAAUCUCUAGAAGGUAAUCAAUCCAGAAAUCAUACCAAGGUUACAGAAUGAUUUGGUGCAAUGUCUUGUCAGUUUCGAGUUGGUGUUCCCACCAUCCUUCUUCAACAUCAUGACGCACGUCCUAGUUCACCUUUGCGAAGAGAUUAACGUUUUGGGUCAUGUAUUUCUACACAAUAUGUUCCCCUUUGAGAGGUUCAUGGGAGUCUUGAAGAAAUAUGUUCAUAACCGUGCUAGGCCAGAAGGAAGCAUAUCGAAGGGCCAUGAAAAUGAGGAGGUCAUUGAGUUUUGUAUUGACUUUAUUCCUGACCUUAAGCCGAUUGGUGUUCCUGAAUCGCGGCAUAAGGGCAGACUAGAUGGAAAAGGCAUGCUAGGAGGGGAUCAAAUAAUAUGUAUGGACGGGCAUUCUCUCAUUGAAGCACACUACACAGUUCUACAUAAUUCCGCUUGGUGGCUCCGUAUAUGGAGGAACACAAGAAUUUUCUACACUCCAAACACCCGGAGCAGUCUGAUGACUGGAUUACACGUGAACAAACGAGGACUUUCGCCGGUUGGUUGCAGACACGUGCCAUGUAUGAUGGCGAUAUUGAAGAUGACAUGUACUUGUUGUCCCAGUUACCAUCUUCGAAUAUAAUGACUUUCAAAGGGUACGCGAUAAAUGGGAAUACAUUUUACACGAUUGCCCAAGAUAAGAAGAGCACAAACCAAAACAGUGGUGUCCGCUUUGAUGCAACAACCAACACGGGAAAGGAAACAUAUUAUGGUUACAUAGAGGACAUAUGGGAACUUAACUAUGGAGGUGGUUUGAAGGUCCCUUUGUUUCGGUGCAAAUGGGUCAAUAUGACACGAGGCGGGGUAACGGAAGACCUGCGGUACGGAAUGACAACAGUGGAUCUCAACAAUCAUGCAUAUGCAGACGAACCAUUCGUCCUAGCCAAUGAUGUGGUGCAGGUUUUCUAUGUGAAAGACAUCUCUACCAGGCCGAGAAAAACAAAAGAUAAGAAAGCGAAUGCAUCAUACGAUGAGCCAAAGCGCCACAUAGUUCUUUCAGGGAAAAGAAACAUCAUGGGAGUGGAUGACAAGACAGACAUGUCAGAAGAUUAUGAAAAGUUUAUGAAAUUGCUCCAUUCAUAGUGAAUAUUGAUCCGAGCAUCUAUAUAAAUGAUGAAGAUUGUCCAUUGUUAUGGCACAAAGGGACACACGCAAAGAAAAAGUUUCACACCCAAGGAUCCCACUCUGGGAUGUGAUAGGCUUCACCGUCAUCACUUUCUUUUCAGUAGUGACUUUCCGGACUUAUAUAUCUGGAAAGUGCCGCUUCGAACAAAUCGGAGGGUGCCUUUAGUACCGGUUGUAGCCACCACCCGGUACUAAAGGGGGGCGCUUCCCGCCGCUUCGCCUGGGCAAAACAGCCCUUUAGUACCGGUUGGUGGCUCCAACUAGUACUAAAGGGGUGGUCCUAUAUAAGUAACACUUCAAAAGUUUGUCAGUUUCGUUCUCUCCCUUUGCUUCUUCUCCUCUGCCCCGUCACAUCCGCCCCCGUCGCCAUCCCCAUCGUUGUCCCCGUCGCCGUCCGUCGCCGUCGCCACCGCCCCUCGUCGCCGCCCCCGUCGCCAUCUGUCGCCAUCUUCUCUGCCUCGCCAUCCCCUCGCCUUGCCGUCGCCGUUGCCGUCGCCUCGCCCGCGCUGUGAGCCCCUCUCCCCGGCCCCUCUCCUCCCUCCAAUCGAGGCCGCCGCGCCAUCGGCGCCGUAGGUGCACAUGCGCACGCGCGCGCGCACACACACACGCACACACACAGACACAUGCACACACGCGCGUGCACACACACACACUUGAUUCUGUUUUUAGUUUUAGUUUUUAGUUUUUAGUUUUUUCUGUUUUUAUACAAAUGUUUUAGAUGAUAAUUAAUUAAUUAGAUUAGAUUAAUGUAAAAUAGUAUAUAGAAAUGUCAGAAAUGUUAUAGAAAUGUUAGAAAUUUUAGAAAUGUUAGUUUUAGCUAGAUGAAUUAGAUUAAUUUCAAAUUGUUAUAGAAAUGUUAUAGAAAUGUUAGUUUUUAGUUUCUUAUAAUUUUAGUUAUAGAAAUUUAGAAUUUGCAUAUAAGAAAUCACAAUCCAAUCAUUUAAAAAUUGUUACUUUUGCGACGUAUAGUAUUUGUUCUCGAUGAUGCUCGGCCCGCAUCCUCGCCGUCGACCCGUUCACGACAACGUCCUGCUUCAGAGGACCCAUGUCCGGGACUGGGCUCCGGCAGGCUGGGACUGGGAGGUCCUACCUUCAGGGGCUCGCCGCUUGGUGAGGAACCCGGGUCCCGUCGUCGACCCUGAGCUCCUUUAGUGGCGUUCCCGUGGGCCACUUUGGUUGCAGAGGGAGCCGGCCCCGCCGGAGGUUGUGCGUCGUCGUGUCAGGGAGGAGGACGAGCACGUCCGUCGCUGCAUGGCUGCUAUGGAUGUCAGGUUCUCCAAUACCUGGCAGGGUCUUUGGGGAGAUGACCGGAGCUAUGAUCCUGUGAUGGUUCCUUCUCUUUGGGUGUCCACUGAUGACCAACAAGUGUAGGGGAUCUAUCAUAGUCCUUUCGAUAAGUAAGAGUGUCGAACCCACGAGGAGCAGAAGGAAAUGACAAGCGGUUUUCAGUAAGGUUUUCUCUGCAAGCACUGAAAUUGUAGGUAACAGAUAGUUUUGUGAUAAGAUAAAUUGUAACGGGUAACAAGCAAUGAAAGUAAAUAAAGUGCAGCAAGGUGGCCCAAUCCUUUUUGUAGCAAAGGACAAGACUGGACAAUUUCUUAUAAUGAGAAAAGAGCUCCCGAGGACACAUGGGAAUUAUCGUCAAGCUAGCUUUCAUCACGCUCAUAUGAUUCGCGUUCGGUACUUUGAUAAUUUGAUAUGUGGGUGGACCGGUGUUUGGGUACUGCCCUUACUUGGACAAGCAACCCACUUAUGAUUAACCCCUAUUGCAAGCAUCCGCAACUACAAAAGAAGUAUUAAGGUAAACCUAACCACAUCAUUAGACAUAUGGAUCCAAAUCAGCCCCUUACGAAGCAACGCAUAAACUAGGGUUUAAGCUUCUAUCACUCUAGCAACCCAUCAUCUACUUAUUACUUCCCAAUGCCUCCCUCUAGGCCCCAAUAAUGGUGAAGUGUCAUAUAGUCCACGUUCACAUAACACCACUAGAGGAAAGACAACAUACAUCUCAUCAAAAUAUCGAACGAAUACCAAAUUCACAUGACUAUUAAUAGCAAGACUUCACCCAUGUCCUCAGGAACAAACGUAACUACUCACAAAGCAUAUUCAUGUUCAUAAUCAGAGGAGUAAUAAUAUGCAUUAAGGAUCUGAACAUAUGAUCUUCCACCAAAUAAACCAAUUAGCAUCAACUACAAGGAGUAAUCAACACUACUAGCAACCCACAGGUACCAAUUUGUGGUUUUCGAUACAAGAUUGGAUACAAGAGAUGAACUAGGGUUUGAGAGGAGAUGAUGCUGAUGAAGAUGUUGAUGGAGAUUGACCCCCUCCCGAUGAGAGGAUCGUUGGUGAUGAUUUCCCCCUCCUGGAGGGAAGUUUCCCUGGCAGACAGCUCUGCGAGAGCCCUAGAUUGGUUCCGCCAAGGUUCCGCUUCAUGGCGGCGGAGUAUCGUCCCGUAAGCUUGUCUCUAAUUUUUUUUUCCAGGGUAAAAGCAUUCAGAUAGCAUAAGAUGGGCAUCGGAGGGCCACCACAGGGCCCAGGAGAUAGGGUGGCGCGCCCAGCGCCCCCCACCCUCCUGGCCAGGGUGUAGGCCCCCUCUGGUUCUUUCUUCGCUCAAUAAUUCUUAUUAAUUCCAAAACUGACUUCCGUGGAGUUUCAUGAUUUUUGGAGCUAUGCAAAAUAGGUUUCCAAUAUUUGCUCCUUUUCCAGCCAGAAUUCCAGCUGCCGGCAUUCCCCCUCUUCAUGGUAAACCUUGUAAAAUAAGAGAGAAUAACCAUAAGUAUUGAGACAUAAUGUGUAAUAACAUCCCAUAAUGCAAUAAAUGUCGAUAUAAAAGCAUGAUGCAAAAUGGACGUAUCAUCCACCGCCCGCGCCUUGGGAACCUCGAGUGGCCUAGAUUAUUCUGUAGUAUUCGAUCUUUAUUAGCUAGCUAGCUAGUGAUGUAUUUGAUAUAUAAUAUACGAGACAAUGUAUUUGAGAUUAUAUAUUAUUCGAGACGAUGCAUAUUACGUACUAUGAUUCAGGAUUUCCUUAUUGAUUGCAUGCAUGCAUUAUAAUUUGAAUACUAAAUUGUUUUAUAUUUCUUCUGGAUUAGUUAAAUAAAAGCUAUGGCGGACAAUACCGGCAGAGAGGGAGAAGAGGCCCUGUUCGAGAUCAUACGCUCCCCUCACGGGCCAGAUGAUCGAAAUGAAGAAGAUGACGGCUCCCAAUAUCUGAACAAUACCGGGGAGGGUGAUGAUGAGAUGAUAUUCGAUCGCGACGACCAAAUUGAUGAAGUCAUGGACGACGACUAUGAUGAUGAUCAUUGCAAAGAAAAUGUUGAUCUUGAAAUUGGCAAAGAAAAUGUUGAUCUUGAAAUAACAGAAUUGAUGAAGUCAUGGACGACGGCUAUGAAAUGAAAAAAGGUGGACGCUAUGGCAUUGGGUUCAUUGACCCAAAUACUGUUAAUGAAGAAACAUGGAAAUAUCCAUGGUAUCAAGCAGAUGUAGAGAAAAACAUGCUAGAGUUCUUGAAGCGCCUCAAUACCAAUGAAGAUAUACUACUUUCUUACAACUUCUUGUGAGUCACACUGUCUUGUACUACAAAUUCUAUUUUUACUUACUAGCUAGCUAGAUGUUAAUAAUUAUUACUACCAAUGAUGAGUGCUAUGCACAUGCCCACUUAAUUAAGACAUGCAAACGUGUGUGUGCAUGCAAUUACCAUUGGAUCUUGUUAAUCAUUAAAGUUGACGAAGGAACAAUUGAAGUACAGGACUCACUACUUUAAAAAAGAGACUACUCAAUUGUGAAGGGGAAGUCGACAGGUAAUUUCAAUCAUUAUUAACUACAUGUCGGCCUCUUUAGUUUGUCAUUUCCUGAUAUCAACUAUUUAAUAACUCGUUUAUUCAUUUUCUUUGCCGGCGGGCAGGGCUUGGGAAAAUUUCAAGAAUGAGGUUUCAGGAGAAUGCAGAGAAAAGCUGUAUUGGUUUCGACACAAGGUAUAAUUAAUUAAGUAGUACUAGCUAGCUACCAUGCAGCUCUUUAAUUCUAGUUUCAAUACCAUUAAUUAUCAUGCUUGAUUAAUUAUUAUCUGAUUAAAUUGUAUUCUCGUAAAGGCCCUGAAGCAGGCGGAGGGGACUGAUGUGUGUGCAUACUAUGUUUUCGAGAACAUUCGCACGAUGACGCCCGAAAGGACCAAAACUGAUAGACAGCUAUGGGUACGUUUGACAGAACAAUAUUCACAAUUUUUACAUCAUUAUAGAUAUCUAGUCAUAUAACUAAUACACAUGCAUAUUGAUCUCCUUCUUAACAGUUUGAAUCGGUGCGGGAGAAGCUCCUACCAGAGGAGCGCAUACGAGCACUUCAAGAGGAAAUAGCAGGAUUUUUGCUCGACAAGGUCAUAGAUCCCAAAGGGGAAUUCUAUUACGAGCUACUGCCCCAAUGAACCACUCCCAGUUGUCAUCGUGCUCCGAAGGCACCAAGGCAAAUGCCACUGGCUCUGAAGGCACCAAGGCAAAUGCCACUGCCUUUGAAGGCAACAUGUAGGAAAAACUGUGUAUAUAUACAUGUGUAUGUGUGAAUAAUGGUGUGGUUGUGAGACAUUCGAUGAUAUAUAUAUAUAUAAUAUGUAGUAUCUUAAAAUACCAGCAAACAAAAAAGAAUUAUAUGGAAAACACAAAAUUAAAGGAAAAAUAAAUAAUAAAAUCAAAAACCCCAAAAAAUUUAGUACCGGUUGGUGUUACCAACCGGUACUAAAGGUCUCCCCACACCCGGCCCUGGCUCGUGCCAUGUGGUGGCCCUUUAGCGGCGGUUCAUGCAGAAUCAGUACUAAAGGGGGGGAAAGGUCCCCACCCGUUAGUGCCGGUUACAGAACCGACACUAAAGACCCUUACGAACCAGAGCUAUAGCCCGGUUCUGCACUAGUGAGACGUUGUGGGUGGUGAAAGCAAUAAACUCACACCCACACCAAGACACUCGAUCGAGGAGGUGGAAGGCAUCGAAGGGGUUGGUGAAGGUAGCGAGGAGCGCAACCACAACGCCAUUGUGAUUGACCUCCUCAACAUGGAACAUCCUUGGAGAGCCACGAGGGAGGUGGCGGUAGCCGGCCGAAAGGAAGAACUCUGUUAAUUCCCUUGCGCCCCUCCACCUAGAGAUCGCCCAAACCCUAAGAGUGUUUGAUACGACCAUUUUGGAUCAUGCUUUUAUAUCAAUAUUUAUUGCAUUAUGGGAUGUUAUUACACGUUAUAUCACAAUACUUAUGCCUUUUCUCUCUUAUUUUAGAAGGUUUACAUGAAGAGGGAGAAUGCCGGCAGCUGGAAUUUUGGACUGGAAAAGGAGCAAAUAUUAGAGACCUAUUGUGCGCAACUCCAAAAGUCCUGAAACUUCAAGCGAUCAGUUUUGGAAUAUAUUAAAAAUAUUGGGCGAAGAAAGCACCAGAGGGGGGCCACCAGUCAUCCACGAGGGUGGAGGGCGCGCCCCCCUACCUCGUGGGCCCCUUGGAAAGCCCCCGACUCCCAUCUUCUGCUAUAUGGUGUCUUUUACGCUGGAAAAAUCAGAGAGAAGCUUUCGGGAUGAAGCACCGCCGUCUUGAGGCGGAACCUGGGUCGGACUAAUCUAGGGCUCCGGCAGAGCUGUUCUGCCGGGGAUACAUCCUUCCGGGAGGGGGAAAUCAUGGCCAUUGUCAUCACUAUCGAUCCUCUCAUCAAGAGGGGGUCAAUCUCCAUCAAUAUCUUCACCAACACCAUCUCCUCUCAAAACCUAGUUUAUCUCUUGUAUCCGAUCUUUGUCUCAAAACCUCAGAUUGGUACAUGUGGGUUGCUAGUAGUGUUAAUUACUCCUUGUAGUUGAUGCUAGUUGGUUUAUUAGGUGGAAGAUCAUAUGUUCAGAUCCUUCAUGCUAUCCAAUACUCCUCUGAUUAUGAACAUGAAUAUGCUUUGUGAGUAGUUACAUUUGUUCCUGAGUACAUGUGAGUAGUUACGUUUGUUCCAGUGUCCCUUCUGCUUGAAGUAGAGACAUUCGGUCCCUUUAGAAGCUCAUCCCUUGUUCUUCUUCUGAGACUCGGUCUUGCCGGCUUCAAUAUAUUUCUUCUUCUUGGACUUGCCCUUCUUCUUGAAAUUGGUGGUCUUGUUGACCAACAAUAUUGUUUUGUUCUUCUGCAUUCCAGCUUCCAUAGUUUUGAGCAUAGAAAACAACUCGUUUGCAAUUUUCUCCAUCCCAUUCAUGUUGUGAUUCAUGAUAAAUACAUCAUAAGAUGGUGGAGUGAAGCAAUCACAAUAUAUGUACCGAGUGUCGAUGGAAUUACAAAUUCCAGAGAAGCCAGUCUGUCAACAUAGCCAGCAAGCUUUACUAUAUGCUCACUCAUUGAGGAACCCUCUUUCACCUUUCAUUCAAUCAAGGCGUUGUCUAAUUCAAAAUGUUUGGCCCUCUCCUUCUUGUACAGAACUUACACUGACCCACCUAUGAAUUGAGUAUUAGAUCAUUCAAAAUGCUUCUGUAGUUCAGGAUCCAUGCAAGUUAACAUGAGGCACGAACUGGAUCAUAGUCAUCACUACGAGCAACGUAAGAAGCCACUUCUUCUGGUGUUGCAUACUUUUCGGGCGCAUCACCUAGGGGCUGAUCCAGCAUGUCCUCCUUCUUAGCACUCCCGAGAAAAAAAUCUCAGGUUUUGGAUCCAAUCUGCAUAGUUUCCACCAUUAGCAUCUAACAUUUCUUUCUCUAACAUAGGGGCUAACUUGAACUUAUUGCGAGCCAUUGAUCUACAAUGAUAGAUACAAAAUUCAUGUAGACAUUAUUCAUAAUUAAUGUUGCACUAGUGAUUAAAAAUUAAUAUAAAGUGCACUCUCACUCAAAUCAAUAUCUCUCAUAAUUGAUAGUGAGUGAUUCAAGAUCCAAAUCUAGUUAUCAGGCAUUGGUGUGGACGAUGACGAGAAUUUUGACUGGUGGGCAAACUUUUGCCGAUCAUAUCCCCAUAUUGCUCUUGUUCAUCUUUCGAUGCUUUGUGCUCCGAGCUUAGAACGGUUGUGCUAGAACUUUAAGAUAACCGAGUGCUAUCUGCUAACAUUGUCUGACCAGUCCCAUCUUACAACUCAUAUCCCGUUUGUACUCAUGUGGACAUGACGCACUCCGGAAUGCUACGUGUUAUAGACGGUUGCAACACUGGGAAGAAAACCAUUUAACUCGAUAUUAACUAUGAGAGAUCACCCUAAUAAUUGACUACUGCGCAAAUAUCUCAUGAGAGAUCACUAGGGCUAUACCAUAUUAACUGUGAGAGAUCAAAGAGUGCAAACAUCAAAGGGAUAAACAUCUCAGGAAAUUCAUAGCAGCAUGAUAUGGUAUAGCCCUGGGCGUUGGGAAUCUCUGUCAUCAUCUUCAAUCUCCAGUUGAAGCGUCAUGAGGUCCAAUAUUUCACUGCCGUGGCAACCGUUUAAAAAAUGUUGCCAUAGCUGCAAUUUCAUGAAACAUUGUUGUGGCGACUGUUUCAGAAAAUGUUAUCGUGGCACCAAAUUUAGAAGUUCCGUCGUGGACGAAAUUAUAGCUUCUCAUCCCGCACCUAGUACACCUUCUCCUCGUUGGAGUCCUUCGUGUAUAGUUGCCAUCGUUACCUGUAACAUGUAGGAUAUCUCUACGGAUUUUACAUUAAUGUGGCAAUCCCAUGGUCGAGCCAUCAUGUCGUGACGUGCACGCCACUUAACAUUACAACAUAUAACAAUCUCAUACAUAAACUCAUUAUCAUGACGAAGGCUAUACCACAUCAAAUGCAUACCCUGCAAAACCAAGUUAGACAUCCUCUAGUCAGUUUUAGAAAAAAUUUAUUUGCACGGUUAACCAGUUUUAGCAAGUAAUACUAGCUACCUACGUUCACAAUAUAGGCAAUGAUUCUUGAUGCUAGAUUAAGUUUUAGGGUGUGUUUGAAAGAAGAGACUUAAUUAAAAUUCUUGUCCCAUGCACUAAACUUCGUCAAACACGCGUGACACCUUAGAAGAUCAUCCAUCUUCGGCACUCUCUUGUGUACGCGAUGGUCCACUUUUUGACCAUUUUUGUAUAUAUUAACAUCGCUGGAAACUUUUUCCACCUAUAUAUAAUUUAUUGGUAAUACCCAGUAUUACCUGAUACUCUCUCAAACCCUUCCGGUGGCCCUGAAACGCUUCCGGAUCCUCUCAGAACUAUUUCAAAUAUUCAUGAAAUAAUUUCACAAAUAUAUUCUCAUGAGUCCCAUCCUAGUAACACUUAGAAGAUCCUAACUACCUUAAGCUUGUGACCCUAUAUUUUCGGUAACUCAUAGACACAAAUGAUACCGUUCAUCCAAUGACCGAUAGCUGGGUCGUGGACGUCCACAUCGAUCCCUAUGAGCACACGAAUGAUACUCAAGUGAACCUUUGGUCAUCAUGUGAUGUUCCCUUUGCUUCACGAUACUUCACAAAACCCAGAAUGCAUCGGUAUCCUCCUGAGUCAUCACCAUAGUCACUAUACUGAAAUCUCCGUUACCUAUUUUGUUCUUCUUUCUCGUUAUUGUGUUCAGUCAUCCCCAUGACAUAGUCACCUGUGUCUGGCUAUACCAUGAUUGGUAUCGUCACACCGAGAGGACCCUAAGAUUGUCUCUCCAUUGUCGGAGGACCAGAUCCCACUCUCGAUCUAUCUAGUCCCUUGUCAAACUUUUCAAUGAACCUGUAAGUUGCCAUUAUGAUCGCCAUGUUAUAGGUGAAGUUUGAGGAGAAAAGUCACAUAUUAACACCGUACGAUAAGAAGUGACUAUGAUACUCUCAUGGUCUAAGGAGAAAAAUCACAUAUUGUGUUAUUAUAAUUGAGUACAAACGAUAUUAACCCAAUUCGUAACAAACGAGUUUGGGUCGAUUCAAUAUGAUCGUUCUUCUAACGUCAUAAUCUCAAUGUUGUUCUAGGACUAUUGUUGUACUUAACAAUAUCAUAGGAACCAGAAAACGCGGUCACCAACAACACUUGAGCUAGUCCUAGAGGCAAAACUAUGAAUAUUUUAUUUAUUGUUUAUCAUUCCCGACGUGCAUAUGCGUUUUCCACUAAAUCGCAUAUUCCACGAUCAUAGCAGUUAUAGCACAGAAUAUAAACUCUAUAAUUACAAAUAUGAAAACAUAAUAAUAGAAAGAUCGUGCACUACUACUUUUUCAGGGGUCCACUACUACUUCUUCAAAGACCGUGGACUAAUACUUUUUGGCAGUACUACUUGUCGAUUUUCAUUGCUAAUCAAUUAGUUACCAGUCUUCUUUUUCUUCUUCUGCCUACGAGGAAGUUCAUUUUCAAGAUUAGUUUUUCUUUUAUUAUUGUUUUCUUUAUCUUCUUUUUAUGUUCGCAGUGAUAGUGUUUUCUACAAGAAGAAAUAAGUGGCAAAAAAUCAUGAUUUUUUUUUGUUUUCGUCUUACUGUUUCCAUCAUGUUCUCCUUAUGUUAUUAGGUACUUAUUAUUAGUAUUUUUCUAUGAAAAUGUUUUUUCUAAAUAUGAAAAUAAGUGGGAAAUGUGUGUCACACUUCGGAGGUUCAUUGGUAAUGUGUGUGUCACACAUAGCGGUGCAUUGGAAUAUUUUUUCAAGUUUUUUUUGUGACUUCCUCUCUAUUGUUUUCUUCAUAUUCUUUUAAAAUCCUAGGAGAUUUUAUUGAGAAAUAAAUAUUUGAAACUACACAAUUGUGUCACGCAUAAGAACAUAUCUCUGGAAAAUCUUGAAGGAACAAAUAUAUGAAUGAAAAUAGAUUUGUGUUCACAAAGUCUGUAUGUCGGUUAAUUCAUGAUGGGGACAUAGGUAAAGUUUAAAUCGCGGUUAUGGGGAAAGACUUCAAGACCUUGUUUGACAAGUGUGCAGCCCAACAUAAGGUAGCUAGAAAAGUAGCAAGUGCAUAGUCAUCUACUAGCAUCCCUAUGUCCCACUUUUUUCUCAAGCUAUGUUCAAGCCUGUUUUAUUGGCUAAAAUAACAAGAAUAUCAAAAGGUGGAAACUACAAAGAGGAUGAUAAUGAACCAUUCAAUGAUGCUUUCGAUAGUCUUGGUUGGUGAAAGGUGAAUACACUUAGUGUUGGAAAUAUGCCCUAGAGGCAAUAAUAAAAGGAUUAUUAUAAUAUUUCCUUGUUCAUGAUAAUUGUCUUUUAUUCAUGCUAUAAUUGUGUUAUCUGGAAAUCGUAAUACAUGUCUGAAUACAUAGACCACAACAUGUCCCUAGUGAGCCUCUAGUUGACUAGCCCAUUGAUCAAUAAAUAGUCAUGGUUUCCUGACUAUGGACAUUGGAUGUCAUUGAUAACAGGGUCACAUCAUUAGGAGAAUGAUGUGAUGGACAAGACCCAAUCCUAAGCAUAGCACAAGAUCGUGUAGUUCGUUUGCUAGAGCUUUUCCAAUGUCAAGUAUCUUUUCCUUAGACCAUGAGAUCGUGUAACUCCCGGAUACCAUAGGAGUGCUUUGGGUGUACCAAACGUCACAACGUAACUGGGUGACUAUAAAGGUAUACUACGGGUAUCUCCGAAAGUGUCUGUUGAGUUGACACGGAUCGAGACUAGGAUUUGUCACUCCGUAUGACGGAGAGGUAUCUCUGGGCCCACUCAGUAAUGCAUCAUCAUAAUGAGCUCAAAGUGACCAAGUGUCUGGUCACGGGAUCAUGCAUUAUGGUACGAGUAAAGUGACUUGCCGGUAACGAGAUUAAACGAGGUAUUGGGAUACCGACGAUCGAAUCUCGGGCAUGGAUCGUACCGAUUGACAAAGGGAAUUGUAUACGGGGUUGCUUGAAUCCUCGACAUCGUGGUUCAUCCGAUGAGAUCAUCGAGGAGCAUGUGGGAGCCAACAUCAGUAUCCAGAUCCCGCUGUUGGUUAUUGACCGGAGUGCCCUCUCGGUCAUGUCUACGUGUCUCCCGAACCCGUAGGGUCUACACACUUAAGUUUCGGUGACGCUAGGGUUGUAGAGAUAUUAGUAUGCAGCAAACUGAAAGUUGUUCGGAGUCCUGGAUGAGAUCCCGGACGUCACGAGGAGUUCCGGAAUGGUCCAGAGGUAAAGAAUUAUAUAUGGGAAGUCGAGUUUCGGCCAUCGGGAAAGUUUCGGGGGUCACCGGUAUUGCACCGGGACCACCGGAAGGGUCCCGGGGGUCCAUUGGUGGGGCCACCUAUCCCGGAGGUCCCCAUGGGCUGAAGUGGGAGGGGAACCAGCCCCUGGUGGGCUGGUGCGCCCCUCCUUGGGCCCCCCUGUGCCUAGGGUUGGAAACCCUAGGGUGGGGGGCGCCUCCACUUGCCUUGGGGGACAAGGCACCCCCUUGGCCGCUGCCCCCCUUGGAGAUUCAAUCUCCUAGGGCCGGCGCCCCCCCUGGGGACCCUAUAUAAAGGGGGAGGGAGGGCAGCCGCACCCUUGCACUUGGCGCCUCCCUUCCCCCUUGCUACACCUCUCCCUCCUGCAGACGCUUGGCGAAGCCCUGCCGGGAUCCCUGCUGCAUCCACCACCACGCCGUCGUGCUGCUGGAUCUUCAUCAACCUCUCCUUCCCCCUUGCUGGAUCAAGAAGGAGGAGACAUCUCGCUGACCGUACGUGUGUUGAACGCGGAGGUGCCGUCCGUUCGGCGCUAGGAUCUCCGGUGAUUUGGAUCGCGACGAGUACGACUCCCUCAACCCCGUUCUCUUGAACGCUUCCGCUUGAUCUACAAGGGUAUGUAGAUGCACUCCUCUCUCUUGUUGCUAGAUGAACUCAUAGAUUGAUCUUGGUGAAACCGUAGGAAAAUUUUUAUUUUCUGCAAUGUUCCCCAACAGUGGUAUCAGAGCUAGGUCCAUGCGUUGUUCUCUUUGCACGAGUAGAACACAAAUUUGUUGUGGGCAUAGAUGUUGUCAACUUUCUUGACACUACUUGUCUUAUUUUGCUUCAGCGGUAUUGUGGGAUGAAGCGGCCCGGACCGACCUUACACGUACGCUUAUGUGAGACAGGUUCCACCGACUGACAUGCACUAGUUGCAUAAGGUGGCUAGCGGGUGUCUGUCUCUCCCACUUUAGUUGGAGAAGAUUUGAUGGAAAGGGUCCUUAUGAAGGGUAAAUAGAAGUUGACAAAUCACGUUGAGGUUUUUUUUCGUAGGUAAGAAAACGUUCUUGCUAGAACCCUAUUGCAGCCACGUAAAAGAUGCAACAACAAUUAGAGGACGUCUAACUUGUUUUUGCAGCAAUUGCUUUGUGAUGUGAUAUGGCUAAAAGUUGUGAUGAAUGAUAUAUAUGUGAUGUAUGAGAUCAUGUUCUUGUAAUAGGAAUCACGACUUGCAUGUCGAUGAGUAUGACAACCGGCAGGAGGCAUAGGAGUUGUCUUAAUUAUUGUAUGAUCUGCGUGUCAAUGAUUUAACGCCAUGUAAUUACUUUACUUUAUUGCUAAACCGUUAGCCAUAGUAGUAGAAGUAAUAGUUGGCGAGCAACUUCAUGGAGACACGAUGAUGGAGAUCAUGAUGAUGGAGAUCAUGGUGUCAUGCCGGUGACAAAGAUGAUCAUGGAGCCCCGAAGAUGGAGAUCAAAGGAGCUAUAUGAUAUUGGCCAUAUCAUGUCACUGUUUAAUUGCAUGUGAUGUUUAUUAUGUUUAUGCAUCUUGUUUACUUAGAAAGACAGUAGUAAAUAAGAUGAUCCCUCAUAAUAAUUUCAAGAAAGUGUUCCCCCUAACUGUGCGUCGUUGUGACAGUUCGUUGUUUCGAAGCACCAUGUGAUGAUCGGAUGUGAUAGAUUCUAACGUUCACAUACAAUGGGUGUAAGACAGAUUUACACACGCAUAAACACUUAGGUUAACUUGACGAGCCUAGCAUGUACAGACAUGGCCUCGGAACACAAGAGACCGAAAGGUCGAACAUGAGUCGUAUGAAAGAUACGAUCAACAUGGAGAUGUUCACCGAUGAUGACUAGUCCAUCUCACGUGAUGAUCGGACACGGCCUAGUCGACUCGGAUCAUGUAUCACUUAGAUGACUAGAGGGAUGUCUAAUCUGAGUGGGAGUUCAUUAAAUAAUUUGAUUAGAUGAACUUAAUUAUCAUGAACUUAGUCUAAAAUCUUUGCAAAAUGUCUUGUAGAUCAAAUGGCCAAUGCUCAUGUCAACAUGAACUUCAACGCGUUCCUAGAGAAAACCAAGCUGAAAGAUGAUGGCAGCAACUAUACGGACUGGGUCCGGAACCUGAGGAUCAUCCUCAUAGCUGCCAAGAAAGCAUAUGUCCUAGAAGGACCGCUAGGUGAAGCACCCAUCCCAGAGAACCAAGACGUUAUGAACGCUUGGCAGUCACGUGCUGAUGAUUACUCCCUCGUUCAGUGUGGCAUGCUUUACAGCUUAGAACCGGGACUCCAAAAGCGUUUUGAGCAACACGGAGCAUAUGAGAUGUUCGAGGAGCUGAAAAUGGUUUUCCAAGCUCAUGCCCGGGUCGAGAGAUAUGAAGUCUCCGACAAGUUCUAUAGUUGUAAGAUGGAGGAAAAUAGUUCUGUCAGUGAGCACAUACUCAAAAUGUCUAGGUUGCACAACCGCCUGUACCAGCUGGACAUUAACCUCUCGGACGAGGCGGUCAUUGACAGAAUCCUUCAGUCGCUCCCACCGAGCUACAAGAGCUUUGUGAUGAACUACAAUAUGCAGGGGAUGGUGAAAACUAUUCCUGAAGUAUUUUCAAUGCUGAAGUCAGCAGAGGUAGAAAUCAAAAAGGAACAUCAAGUGUUGAUGGUCAACAAAACCACUAAGUUCAAGAAAGGCAAGGGUAAGAAGAACUUCAAGAAGGACGGCAAGGAUGUUGCCACGCCGGGUAAGCCAGUUGCCGGGAAGAAGUCAAAGAAUGGACCCAAGCCUGAGACUGAGUGCUUUUAUUGCAAAGGGAAGGGACACUGGAAGCGGAACUGCCCCAAAUACUUAGCGGACAAGAAGGCCGGCAACACUAAAGGUAUAUGUGAUAUACAUGUAAUUGAUGUGUACCUUACCAGUACUCGUAGUAGCUCCUGGGUAUUUGAUACCGGUGCAGUUGCUCAUAUUUGUAACUCAAAGCAGGAACUUCGGAAUAAACGGAGACUGGCGAAGGACGAGGUGAUGAUGCGCGUCGGGAAUGGUUCCAAGGUCAAUGUGAUAGCCGUCGGCAUGCUACCUCUACAUUUACCUACGGGAUUAGUUUUAAACCUCAAUAGUUGUUAUUUAGUGCCAAGUUUGAGCAUGAACAUUGUAUCUGGAUCUCGUUUAAUACAAGAUGGCUACUCAUUUAAAUCCGAGAAUAAUGGUUGUUCUAUUUAUAUGAGAGAUAUGUGUUAUGGUCAUGCCCCGAUGGUCAAUGGUUUAUUCUUAAUGAAUCUCGAACGUAAUGUUACACAUAUUCAUAGUGUGAAUACCAAAAGAUGUAAAGUUGAUAACAAUAGUCCCACAUACUUGUGGCACUGCCGCCUUGGUCACAUUGGUGUCAAGCGCAUGAAGAAGCUCCAUGCUGAUGGACUUCUAGAGUCUCUCGUUUAUGAAUCAUUUGACACAUGCCAACCAUGCCUCAUGGGCAAAAUGACCAAGACUCCAUUCUCCGGAACAAUGGAGCGAGCAACCAACUUAUUGGAAAUCAUACAUACCGAUGUGUGCGGUCCAAUGAGCUUUGAGGCUCGCGGAGGAUAUCAUUAUGUUCUCACUCUCACUGAUGACUUGAGUAGAUAUGGUUAUGUCUACUUGAUGAAACACAAGUCUGAGACCUUUGAAAAGUUCAAGGAAUUUCAGAAUGAGGUAGAAAAUCAACGUGACCGAAAGAUAAAGUUCUUACGAUCAUAUCGUGGAGGAGAAUAUUUAAGUCACGAAUUUGGUACGCACGUAAGGAAAUGUGGAAUCGUUUCACAACUCACGCCGCCUGGAACACCUCAGUGUAACGGUGUGUCCGAACGUCGUAAUCGCACUUUAUUGGAUAUGGUGCGAUCUAUGAUGUCUCUUACCGAUUUACCGCUAUCUUUUUGGGGAUACGCUCUAGAGAUAGCUACAUUCACUUUAAAUAGGGCACCGUCUAAAUCCGUUGAGACGACACCGUAUGAAUUAUGGUUUGGGAAGAAACCUAAGCCGUCGUUUCUAAAAGUUUGGGUAUGCGAUGCUUAUGUCAAGAAACUUCAACCUGAAAAGCUCGAACCCAAGUCGGAAAAAUGCGUCUUCAUAGGAUACCCUAAGGAAACCAUUGGGUAUACCUUCUACUUAAGAUCCGAGGGCAAGAUCUUUGUUGCCAAGAACGGGUCCUUUCUGGAGAAAGAGUUUCUCUCGAAAGAACUAAGUGGGAGGAAAGUAGAGCUUGAUGAAGUACUACCUCUUGAACCGGUGAGUAGCGUAGCUCAGGAAGAUGUUCCUGUGGUGCCAGCACCAACUGAAGAAGAAGUUAAUGAUAAUGAUCAAGGUACUUCAAAUCAAGUUACUACUGAACUUCGUAGGUCCACGAGGACACGUUCCACACCAGAGUGGUAUGGCAACCCUGUCCUGGAAAUCAUGUUGUUAGACAACGGUGAACCUUCGAACUAUGAAGAAGCGAUGGCGGGCCCAGAUUCCAACAAAUGGCUUGAAGCCAUGCAAUCUGAGAUAGGAUCCAUGUAUGAAAACGAAGUAUGGACUUUGACAGACUUGCCCGAUGAUCGGCGAGCGAUAGAAAAUAAAUGGAUCUUUAAGAAGAAGACGGACGCGGAUGGUAAUGUUGCCAUCUAUAAAGCUCGACUUGUCGCUAAGGGUUAUCGACAAGUUCAAGGGGUUGACUACGAUGAGACAUUCUCUCCCGUCGCGAAGCUAAAGUCCGUCCGAAUCAUGUUAGCGAUUGCCGCAUACUAUGAUUAUGAGAUAUGGCAGAUGGACGUCAAAACGGCAUUCCUUAACGGACAUCUUAAGGAAGAACUGUAUAUGAUGCAGCUGGAAGGUUUUGUCAACCCUGAGAAUGCUAACAAGGUAUGCAAGCUCCAGCGAUCCAUUUAUGGGCUGGUGCAAGCAUCUCGGAGUUGGAACAUUCGCUUUGAUGAGAUGAUCAAAGCGUUUGAGUUUAUGCAGACUUAUGGAGAAGCCUGCGUUUACAAGAAAGUGAGUGGAAGCUCUGUAGCAUUUCUCAUAUUAUAUGUAGAUGACAUACUUUUGAUGGGAAAUGAUAUAGAACUUUUGGACAGCAUUAAGGCCUACUUGAAUAAGUGUUUUUCAAUGAAUGACCUUGGAGAAGCUGCUUACAUAUUAGGCAUCAAGAUCUAUAGGGAUAGAUCGAGACGCCUCAUAGGUCUUUCACAAAGCACAUACCUUGAUAAGAUAUUGAAGAAGUUCAAUAUGGAUCAGUCCAGGAAAGGGUUCUUGCCUGUAUUGCAAGGUGUGAGAUUGAGCUCGGCUCAAUGCCCGACCAUGGCAGAAGAUAAAGAAGAGAUGAGUGUCAUCCCCUAUGCCUCAGCCAUAGGGUUUAUUAUGUAUGCCAUGCUGUUUACCAGACCUGAUGUAAACCUUGCCGUAAGUUUGGUAGGAAGGUACCAAAGUAAUCCCGGCAAGGAACACUAGGCAGCGGUCAAGAACAUCAUAAAGUACUGAAAAGGACUAAGGAUAUGUUUCUCGUUUAUGGAGGUGACGAAGAGCUUGUCGUAAAAGGUUACGUCGACGCUAGCUUCGACACAGAUCUGGAUGACUCUAAGUCACAAAUCGGAUACGUGUAUAUGUUGAAUCGUGGAGCACUAAGUUGGUGCAGUUGCAAGCAGAGCGUCGUGGCGGGAUCUACAUGUGAAGCGGAGUACAUGGCAGCCUCGGAGGCAGCGCAUGAAGCAAUAUGGAUGAAGGAGUUCAUCACCGACCUAGGAGUCAUACCCAAUGCGUCGGGGCCGAUCACUCUCUUCUGUGACAACACUGGAGCUAUUGCCCUUGCCAAGGAGCACUACUAGGAAAAGGGCUAUAGAUAGGAUUGAUACUAAUGGCGCACCUGGUAAGCAGUGCGCCACUACUAUAUACUAAUGGCGCACCGGUCGGAGGUGCGCCAUUAGUGUGGAAGACACUAAUGGCGCACCAGGCACACGGUGCGCCACUAGUAUUGAUUUUGUUUUCCAUUUUUCCAUACACUCUAAUGGCGCAUGGUGCCAAAGUGUGCCAUUACUAGUUCUACCAAGUAAUGGCGCACCUUGUAAGCAGUGCGCCAUUAGUAUAUAAUUUUUUUUACUUUUUUGCAAAACUGCUAAUGGCGCACCGUGUAUAUUUUCAUGGACACUUUUUGAUCUUGAUCUCGAUCCCACCCGCACCCUCCCCCGCUAGCUCCACCGCCGCCGAUGACCCACCGCAACCCUCCCCCGAUCCACCGCCGCCGACGAGCACCCGGCCCCCCCGCACCCUCCCCCGCUCCACCGCCGCCAACGGGCACCCCCCGCACCCUCCCNNNNNNNNNNNNNNNNNNNNNNNNNNNNNNNNNNNNNNNNNNNNNNNNNNNNNNNNNNNNNNNNNNNNNNNNNNNNNNNNNNNNNNNNNNNNNNNNNNNNNNNNNNNNNNNNNNNNNNNNNNNNNNNNNNNNNNNNNNNNNNNNNNNNNNNNNNNNNNNNNNNNNNNNNNNNNNNNNNNNNNNNNNNNNNNNNNNNNNNNNNNNNNNNNNNNNNNNNNNNNNNNNNNNNNNNNNNNNNNCACCGCCGCCGCCGAUGAUAUUUCCAAGUAACAAAUUUGAACAUAUUUUUAAAAAAAUUAUUACUAUUUUUAUAAAAAAAAUAUUACUGUUAUGAUUUAAACAAGUUUGAACAUAUUUAAACACAAAUAAAUAUAAAAAACAGUAUUUAAAAUGCAUAAAAAAAUAUUGGGAGCCUGGGAAUCGAACCCAAGACCUCCUGGUGUGUGUGCUGCGUGCUGACCAGUCGGGCUAGUGGGUGGGUUCUGUUGUAGAUAGGGUUAGGUUGUAGAUAGGGCUAGUGGGCUAGAUUAGAACAAAAUUCUAAUGGCGCACCGAGCGCUGGUGCGCCAUUAGAAUAGUCGUACUUAUGGCGCACGAGAUGGUGGUGUGCCAUUAGAAUAGUCGUACACUAAUUAAAUCCCCAAUCUCUCUAAUCUCUCCCCUCGAUCUCACCCGCUGCCCCCCUCCCCCCCGUGUUCGCCGUCCCGCCUUGCUCCGCCCCCUCCGUCCGCCGCGCCUGCACGCCGUCGGCGACGCCGCUGCCUCUCCUGGCUGUGGUCUUGUGCUGCCCCGACGCCGCCGCCCCGACCGCCGCCGGACUCCACCCUCGCCGCCCCUGCGCCCCCCAAACGGGAUCGGCCGAGCGCACACGCUAGGGCUCCUCACCCUGCCGCCCGCUCCUCUCCUCUCCUCCUCCCUCCGACGAGCGAGGGCCUCCUCCAGCCCCUGCAGCAGCCGGCAAGCGCGGCCCCGACGCGCCCACCCCGCCUGCCACUGCCGUCCUCCGCCACCAGUCACCUCCGCAGCAGCCGGCGAGCCAAGGACGGUGUCGUGACCCUCGCCGCCAACCCUGAGCUCCCCUGCUUCCUCUCUGCGCCGUCCAAGGUGAGCUUCCCUGCCCCUUCUCCCUCUCUCUCCAUGUCCUGGACAGCAAGAUCAAGAGAAUUAUGCUUUUAAUUAAAAUUAUGCUUUGAACAGUAGAAACAAAAAACAGAGUAUGGACCACUCAUCCAAUAUUUUAAGUGUUCUGAUUCAUAAGUAAAUCGCCUUAAUUCAUUCAGUGUAGGGGAAACUUAGAAGAGAAUUCAACAUCCUUGGUCUGUUUUCUACGCAAUUCAUAAAAUAAAUUGCCUUCAAUAUUUUCCCUCAAGCAAUGUUAAGCACCAACAUAUACUCCAAGUUUAAUGUUUGACACAAAUUCAGUUUAAUGUUUGACACAACUGUCCAGUACCAAAGACUUAGGAGUAUUGCAAAAUAUUAAGAUAAUGGUAACUGGCUUUUCUUCUUUUCGACAACACGCGGGUUGAUGGUUUGAUAGGCUCCUAACGGUUCAUGUAUCAUCACUUACUGACAUCCCAAACAUAUGCAGAAAUAUGCCUAUAUGGCCUAGACCUACAACUAUCUCCUGCUAUGGAUGUUUGCUGAACCGAAUAAAUAUGCCUAUAAGGCUAGUACUAGUAGUGCUACUCUCUUACUGCCAGUGACAGUCUAUCGAGGUCAUUAACUCCAACUCAAGUGGGCAUAAUUCUCUGCAGUAGUAUAGCACUUGCAGUAGUAUGGCACUUGCAGUAGUGCGGGACAACAGUAGUUUAGUGCAAGUUUCAGUUAAUUAGCUGGAUUAAAAAGAUGCUUGGGGAUCUGCAGGAGUAGGACAAGCAAAUCUGCUUGAAUAUUUGUUUAUUCAAAGUAAAUGAACAUUUUACUGCUAGUGUACUGAUAGUGUAAUCUAGCUAUUGUACUGAUAUUUCUGUUUCUUUGAACAUUUUACUAUCAAUAAAAAUGAUGUACUGCAGCUUUCAGUUAAUUCAAAUUAGCUAAAACCUUUUACUGGCAAAUAGUGCUAAUGUUUACUCUAUGAAAUAAACUACUCCAUGUCAAAUAAACCUUGCUAGGUGAAUCUUGUUUGCAUUAGGAGUAGUUGCUGGAAAUUUACUGAAUUUUGUUAUGUGCUUUGUGGUGCUAGUUUGCUGGGUUUUGUCUCCGACCAUUGUGUCGUGAUGAAUUUGCAGGUACCCCGAGAGGCCCUUGAGUUUGCCGGAAUGUCGAUUAACUUCCGUUCCGGCAAAUUCGGGUACUCCAUAUGUCCUAUUUUCAGCAAAGGUAAUGCUGAAAUUUUCUGUGAAUUUUAGCAUUACUUUGCUAAAAAUAGGACAUAUGGGGUACUUGCGACUAAUGCCUGUUAUCAUGCAUGGGUACUAAUUGGUCUCUUCUGCUGCUUAUCAGAGAUGGCGGGAAGCAGCCACCGUCGAUCUGCGAUACCGCAGUACGAGUUGGAUGCUUCCGAGUUCUUCACUAUCAUACUUGAGGCUUCAGUAUCAUCCAUGACGCAGGUAUAUAAAACGAGAGAUCUCCCCUUCACCCAUCUCAUUAUGAUAUCUGUUGUUUGCUAAAUCACUCAUUGUCCCAAACUGCAGAGGCUGCCUGAUAGUUUUAUGAACAUGCUGAUGGGUGAAGAUCCGCCAAAUAAUGUGAAGCUGCGACAAGCCGGCAGCGGGUUUCGCAGGCAAUGGGAUGUGCAGUUGGUGAUCAAGAAGGGCCACAUGUACUUGUCUCGUGGGUGGGAGAAGUUCUACCGUGCCUACGACCUGCAGCUGUGGUACUUCCUUCUCUUCAGGUAUGACGACGACGCCAACAUGCUCAUCAUGAAGGUGUUCAACAAGACUAUGUGUCGCAUGCGCUACGCUGCCAAUGAUGAUGCCGGUACGUUCUGCCUCUUCUUAUUCCUCUACAUUUGGCUUUGUCUCACAUCGAUUGUUAACGGUCAUUGUUGCAUUUUGGAUAGGUAAUGGGAGCAGCAGCAGCGACACUGGCUACAGCCAAAGCAGCAGCGACUAUGGCUGCAGCGAAAGUAGCAGCGAUUCUGGCUGUAGCGAAAGCAGUAGCGAUUCUGGCAGCAGCAUAGACAACAAGAAGGAUGAUCCGGACUGGAGUGCGGGAGAAGAGGAGCAGAGUGAGGAUGAGGAGCUGCAGGAUGACGAUGGGCAUCAGGCUGAGGAUGACCUAGCGCUGGUGGUGGCUGACCAAGGGCAAGAGAUGGUGGUGGCUGACCAUGGGCAAGAGAUGGAGGUGGCUGAGGAUGACCUAGCGAUGGUCGUGCCUGAAGGUGGCCUCGCGAUGGUGGUGGUGUCUGACAAUGACCACGCACCGGUGGUGGCGCCGGCGAUCCCACAGCUGGGCGACAUGACCACGCCAAUUGUGGUAGAAGACUACAUCCCACUCCCUCCACUGCCUCCACCACCUCGCCGCUCUAGGCGCAACAGGGAGAGGAAGGAGAAGAAGGAGAAGAACAAUGCAUGAGAACUGAACUUUGUUAGGUAUGUCAGAUCUCCUAUAGGUUAGCUAUCCAAAAUGAUAUAUAUAUAUAUAUAUAUAUAUGUAUAUAUACUUAGUUACCUAUGUUAUCUCUAAUAUGCUUAGUUUCCUAUAGGUUAGCUUCAUUUUUACCUAAGUUGGCUAUAAUAUACUAACUUAGAGCUUAUAUGCUUAGUUUCCUAUAGGUUAGCUCCAAAAUAACUUAUGUUAGCACAAAAUGAUCAAGUUUACAUAAUAAGCUUAUAGUCUUUUUCUUAUUCUUCUUCUUUUCCAAAAUGACAUAGGUUAGCUUCAUUUUUACCUAAGUUGGCUCUAAUAUACUAACUUAGAGCUUAUAUGCUUAGUUUCCUAUAGGUUAGCUCCAAAAUAACUUAUGUUAGCACAAAAUAAUCAAGUUUACAUAAUAAGCUUAUAGUCUUUUUCUUAUUCUUCUUCUUUUCCAAAAUGACAUAGGUUAGCUUCAUUUUACCUAAGUUGGCUCUAAUAUACUAACUAAGAGCUUAUAUGCUUAGUUUCCUAUAGGUUAGCUCCAAAAUAACUUAUGUUAGCACAAAAUGAUCAAGUUUACAUAAUAAGCUUANNNNNNNNNNNNNNNNNNNNNNNNNNNNNNNNNNNNNNNNNNUAUACUAACUAAGAGCUUAUAUGCUUAGUUUCCUAUAGGUUAGCUCCAAAAUAAUUUAUGUUAGCACAAAAUGAUCAGGUUUACAUAAUAAGCUUAUAGUCUUUUUCUUAUUCUUCUUCUUUUCCAAAUGACAUAGAUUAGCUUCAUUUUACCUAAGUUGGCUCUAAUAUACUAACUAAGAGCUUAUAUGCUUAGUUUCCUAUAGGUUAGCUCCAAAAUAACUUAUGUUAGCACAAAAUGAUCAAGUUUUACAUAAUAAGCUUAUAGUCUUUUUCUUAUUCUUCUUCUUUUCCAAAAUGACAUAGGUUAGCUUCAUUUUACCUAAGUUACCUAAGUUCUUCUUCUUCUAACUUCUUGUUUAUCAUUUUGCAGAUUUGAUUUAAUUGACGGAAGCUUGCGUGGAUGGAGUGCUUCUUUUCCAUUUGUGUUUUUAUUUUGUAUCAAUGUGAAACUUUUGUGAAUUGAUGGAUAACGGUGUUGGAUGAACAAUGUGAAACUUUUGUAAUAUGUAACGACGGAACUAUGUGUUGGCUAUGUAUGUAUAUAUGAUGAAACUUGUGUGUUGGAUAUGAUUGUUAUAUGGAUGCUUGUUGUAUAUAUAUGUGUUGAAUAUCUCAUAUGUGAAAUAGUGACCUGAGAUUAAGAAAAAACAAAAAAAAUUAAAAAAAUUGUUACUAAUGGCGCACUACCAUGUGGUGCGCUAUAAGUAUAGCAGAUAAUAGUGGCGCACUGUGGGCAAUACUAAUGGCGCACUAAGUGGUGCGCCAUUAGAAUACCAGAUUCUAAUGGCGCACCAGUGGUGCGCCAUUAGUAAAAAAAUCUAGUGGCGUGAUACUAAUGGCACACUGGUAAUGCGCCAUUAGUAGGCAAAACUAGUGCACCAUUAGUAGGCCUUUUCCUAGUAGUGGAGCCCAGGUUUCACAAGAAGACCAGGAACAUCAAGCGUCGUUUCAACUCCAUCCGUGAAAAUGUUCAAGAUGGAGACAUAGAUAUUUGCAAAGUGCAUACGGAUCUGAAUGUCGCAGAUCCGUUGACUAAACCUCUUCCGCGAGCAAAACAUGAUCAACACAAGAACUCUAUGGGUGUUCGAUUCAUCACAAUGUAACUAGAUUAUUGACUCUAGUGCAAGUGGGAGAUUGUUGGAAAUAUGCCCUAGAGGCAAUAAUAAAAGGAUUAUUAUUAUAUUUCCUUGUUCAUGAUAAUUGUCAUUUAUUCAUGCUAUAAUUGUGUUAUCCGGAAAUCGUAAUACAUGUGUGAAUACAUAGACCACAACAUGUCCCUAGUGAGCCUCUAGAUGACUAGCCCGUUGAUCAAUAGAUAGUCAUGGUUUCCUGACUAUGGACAUUGGAUGUCAUUGAUAACAGGAUCACAUCACUAGGAGAAUGAUGUGAUGGACAAGACCCAAUCCUAAGCAUAGCACAAGAUCGUGUAGUUCGUUUGCUAGAGCUUUUCCAAUGUCAAGUAUCUUUUCCUUAGACCAUGAGAUCGUGUAACUCCCGGAUACCGUAGGAGUGCUUUGGGUGUACCAAACGUCACAACAUAACUGGGUGACUAUAAAGGUAUACUACGGCUAUCUCCGAAAGUGUCUGUUGAGUUGACACGGAUCGAAACUGGGAUUUGUCACUCCGUAUGACGGAGAGGUAUCUCUGGGCCCACUCGAUAAUGCAUCAUCAUAAUGAGCUCAAAGUGACCAAGUGUCUGGUCACGGGAUCAUGCAUUAUGGCACGAGUAAAGUGACUUGUCGGUAACGAGAUUAAACGAGGUAUUGGGAUACCGAUCGAAUCUCGGGCAUGUAUCGUACCGAUUGACAAAGGGAAUUGUAUACGGGGUUGCUUCAAUCCUCGACAUCGUGGUUCAUCCGAUGAGAUCAUCAAGGAGCAUGUGGGAGCCAACAUGGAUAUCCAGAUCCCGCUGUUGUUUAUUGACCGGAGAGCCGUCUCGGUCAUGUCUACGUGUCUCCCGAACCCGUAGGGUCUACACACUUAAGGUUCGGUGACGCUAGGGUUGUAGAGAUAUUAGUAUGCAGCAAACCGAAAGUUGUUCGGAGUCCUGGAUGAGAUCCCGGACGUCACGAGGAGUUCCGGAAUGGUCCGGAGGUAAAGAAUUAUAUAUGGGAAGUCGAGUUUCGGCCAUCGGGAAAGUUUCGGGGGUCACUGGUAUUGUACCGGGACCACCAGAAGGGUCCCGGGGGUCCACCGGGUGGGGCCACCUAUCCCGGAGGGCCCCAUGGGCUGAAGUGGGAGGGGAACCAGCCCCUGGUGGGCUGGUGCGCCCCCCCCCCUUGGGCCCCCUGCGCCUAGGGUUGGAAACCGUAGGGUGGGGGGCGCCUCCACUUGCCUUGGGGGGCAAGGCACCCCCUUGGCCGCUGCCCCCCUUGGAGGUUCAAUCUCCUAGGGCCGGCGCCCCCCCUGAGGACCCUAUAUAAAGGGGGAGGGAGGGCAGCUGCACCCUUGCACUUGGUGCCUCCCUUCCCCCUUGCUACACCUCUCCCUCCCACAGACACUUGGCGAAGCCCUGCCGGGAUCCCUGCUGCAUCCACCACCACGUCGUCGUGCUGCUGGAUCUUCAUCAACCUCUCCUUCCCCCUUGCUGGAUCAAGAAGAAGGAGACGUCUCGCUGACCGUACGUGUGUUGAACGCGGAGGUGCCGUCCGUUCGGCGCUAGGAUCGCCGGUGAUUUGGAUCACGAUGAGUACGACUCCCUCAACCCCGUUCUCUUGAACGCUUCCGCUCGAUCUACAAGGGUAUGUAGAUGCACUCCUCUCUCUCGUUGCUAGAUGAACUCAUAGAUUGAUCUUGGUGAAACCGUAGGAAGAAUUUUAUUUUCUGCAACGUUCCCCAACACUUAGGUACCAAUUGUUGCAAAAUUGGAAAAAAGGUUCCUAACUAUCCUGGCUACCCCUGUAUCUUCAGAGUCAACUUUUAGCACACGUGGGAAGAUUUUAGGUAUGUCAACUUGACAUUUUUAAUUUUCUAUAUGAACUUGUCAAAUGGUCACCCUUGAACUUAGAUUUUUCAACUUGGGUGCUAUUAGAUGACUAUAUGAGUCCUCUAAAACCUGGUAUGGUUGAAGGUUUGGUGUGUGGUGCAAUUUAUAUCAAGGGUGCACACCGAUACUUGAAUGGGUGGUAUGUUUUCUAUCUUUUUUUCUUACAUGUUUUCUUAUUCUGUAUAUUGGAUGUCAUGUGCGGAUUUGGCUAAGUUCUACUCUCUCCGUUCCUAAAUAUAGGGUGUAUAGUUUUUGGCACGGAAAUUAAAGAACGCACGUUGAGGAAAAAUUUCACAAGUUUUGGUCAAGAUUUCACCUGACUAAUUGACAUGAGAAAAUAGAGGAGCUUACCUAAUAUAAGAAAAUGUAAUCAAAUCCCUAAAAAAAUUAUCUAAACGAGUGGUGCAACGCAAUACACUUUAUAUUUUGGACUUUUUCUCAAAAAUCUAUACACCUUAUAUCAAGGAACGGAGGGAGUACAAUUUUAGCUCAGGGAUGAGGAUGAGGAGCAUGUUGGGAACAUCAAGUUACACACGAAUGCGGAGGAGGUCAACAACUGGUAACUAUACUUCCAACAUGUUUCAAAAUGUAGCUCCUAAGUCCUAACUGUCUUAUGUAUGCUCUACUUGUUGUGGGAACAAAAGACUAAAUAGAGGCUUUUGUAGUGGUAAACAAAACUUUAUUAAUCAAAUGUAAGGUUUAUAGGGAUGAUAUAAGGGUCAUGGGGGCCCCAGCCACAGGUGGCGACCAUGAUCUAAAGAACAAGAAAAUUAAUCCAGACUAUGAGCUUCAAAACUCAUGGCACGACCUUCAAAUAUAAAUUCGCAUAUGUCAAAAUCUAUCACCAGUGCAAUGAUUCCUUUGAUGAUUAUGCCAUAUCUGUUGGUGCCACUUUUGACUUUAUUUUUAGGUUUGCCACUUUUGACUAAAUAGUGGCUAAUUUAUUUAUUUAUUGAGAAGUUGGGCCCACUGCUAGCCGGUCCAUUCGGAUCGAAUCCGGACCGCGUCUGAACUGAUGACCGACGAGGCAUGGAACGGCUCAGUCCUAGGUAGAAAGAGAGGAGAGAGAGGG